Quercus lobata is the source of this 966-nucleotide long non-coding RNA. RefSeq lists it as uncharacterized. The transcript is spliced from 3 exons. Lineage: Eukaryota; Viridiplantae; Streptophyta; Magnoliopsida; Fagales; Fagaceae. The record is from RefSeq and is a predicted model, not a curated record.
UACUUACAUAUGAAGCAUGACACAUCAACUUAGGAAGGAAGUAUGAGACAUCUACUUCAAAACAUGAUUCAUCUUCUCUUUGCUACUAAUUGCAUGACAUCUCCAUAUUACUCCCACACCACCUAAUCCUAUGUUCAGCAAUUCCUACAGAAAUUUUCAGUAUUCUAAACCUCUUAGUCUUUCUCUCACACUUGCACUCUUUCUCAAGAACCAAGCAUACCAACCAUUAUAAUUCAAGAGGUGGUGAGAACGUGGACACUUGAGCUUCUCUAAUCCUAAUCUCUUGCAUACUCUACUUUCAGGUUGCAGGCAUACCUUGGCAUAAAGAUCGAAUAUUGUCCCGCAAUUUUCAUUCCGCAUGCAAAAAAGUGAAGAACACACUUUGUCUUUCAAAUUUCUUUGUUCAAGCGGCUCCUCUCUACAAUGACUCAGAAAUACACAGCAGGCUAUACUGACAACGUUCAAAGCAUGAACAAGUAUUCAGAGUUUACAUGGAAAAGGGAGAAGCUAACUGAUUCGGCAAAUCUAGAGUUACCAAAAGUCAUUUUAGGACUUACAGCAGAAAAUUGGAGAAUGGUCCAUGUGUCUGGCCACUUUCGAUUUUGAUAUGAAAAAUUGUACUCGACCAGAAUAAAGAUAUAGUGGAAGACGAGAAGGCAAACAAUAGAAAAGAUGAAUAUUGUCAAAAAUAAAGACAAAUUCAUUCUUAUUAAUAUUGCCACUGACUGAGAACUUGGAAGAUGAUACACAAGUGCAACGAAGAGCCAGGAUACAUACCUGCAGAAGCAAAUUCCCAAAAUUUACUAAAUACCCAUUGUUUAUCUUUAUGUCCCUAUACAGUCUACACAUACACAUGAGAACAUGAUAUUUUCCGUUUCACCUGAAAGGGAUGAAGUCCAUUUUUUUUUCAUGGUCAAAUUUUUUUAAUUUUUUUCUAAUGGAAAAUGCUAUAGUUAUUACAAAUUU